UGAGCAUUGCCUUCGUUCCAAAAAGCUUGUCUUAAAUUUAUCUACAUAUAAAUGUAUCUAACACUAAAACAUGUCUAGAUACAUCUGUAUAUAGACAAAUCUAAGACAAACUUUUUGGGGCGUAAGGAGUAUUCA
Non-coding RNA from Triticum urartu, 135 nucleotides. NCBI's taxonomy places the organism in Eukaryota, Viridiplantae, Streptophyta, Magnoliopsida, Poales, Poaceae. The record is from Rfam.